AAAUAAGUGGCCCAGUACAAGCCCAAAUUCUAGUCUAAACACCUGAUAGCCCAACUGGCCUAAACCAAGAGGCCCAAUUACAGUGGCCCGAUACCCCUAGCCCAGAAUUGAAACAGCAGAAACCCUAGGGUUUUUGGGGUCUUCAGCCGCCGCCUUCCGCGAGCCACUCCCUACGCACGUAGCACCACUCGCACGCGGCCGCGCCCAUCCGUACAUGCCACGCCCCAGACCCUGCACUCCGUACCUGCAAAAGACUCACAAACCAACAACGCAGCAGACUCCAAUAACAUACAAAAAGGAGCAGAGAGAGAAAAUGAAAAGGGACAAAACGGGGUGAUAUUUUUGAUUUUGUCAUUAUAUCUUGUAAAUAGACUAUAAAAGACAGGAAUAGGUUGUAACCUUUAUCUUUUUUUGCAAUCAGAAUACAAAAACACAAAAAAAGGUGAUUUCUGGAUUCACCCUCUCCUUUUUGUUCUUCUACGCAGUUUUUUUUUCUUUUUUCUUUUGUGUGUUUACUAAAGAAAAUAAAAGCAGUAAGAAGGAAGGCUUACCUCUCGACCGGACCUGUUGCUCCUUCUCCGUUGUCAUCGGAGUCUGGGGCGUGGUUUGGAGAGCCUCUGAAUGAGGCGAUGAACUGUCGAGCGGCGCCGAGAGGGAGAGAGAGCUUUUAGUUUUUUUUAAAAGAGGUAAAAUGUUAGGUUAGGUUUUUU
Molecule: long non-coding RNA, 710 nt
Filed under: Gossypium barbadense (sea-island cotton)
Lineage: Eukaryota; Viridiplantae; Streptophyta; Magnoliopsida; Malvales; Malvaceae
Description: long non-coding RNA (GBAR_LNC017946)
Source: RNAcentral